Homo sapiens (human) is the source of this 10649-nucleotide long non-coding RNA. RefSeq lists it as uncharacterized. Lineage: Eukaryota; Metazoa; Chordata; Mammalia; Primates; Hominidae. The record is from RefSeq and is a predicted model, not a curated record. The transcript is spliced from 2 exons.
AGAUGGGAUCUCACCCUUUUGCUCGAGCUGAAGUGCAGUGGCGCAAUCAUGGCUCACUGCAGGCUCAACCUCCCGGCCUCAAGCCAUACUCCCACCUCAAGCUCCUGAGGAGCUGGGACUAUAGGCACGUACCAACACUCCUCAAUACUUUUCCUUUGUAUUUUUUAAUAGAGAUGGGGUCUUGCCAUGUUGCCCAGGCCGGUUUCAAACUCCUGACCUCAAGUGAUCCACCUGCCUUAGCCUCCCAAAGUGCUGAGAUUAUAGGCAGUUCAUUCUUUAUAAUUUCUGAGAAAAUUAGUUUUUAAGCUCAUCUUUUUUUUUUUAAUCACAACAGCAUAAAGAAUCUCAUUACAGUGAGUUAGGAUUGCCUAGGGAUUAUACGUGUGGGCUCCAAGUCUGAAUGCCUGGGUAUAAACCACAGCUGCCACUUCCUGGCUGUGGACCUCUAGCAAUUUACUCAUUCUAUUCAACUCAUCUGAAAAGGAGAUAGAAUUAUAUUUCAGCCCAAUGAAAUCCCUCCCUGUCCACCGAUCCAUAAUAGCAUCCCUGAUGUACACAUGACAACAUUUCAGAAUAUUUUCUGUCAGUACUAGGAAAACAGAAGUCCUUGUAAUGAAUGGUUGGACACAAGACCAUUUAAAGAUUAAUUCUUAACAGUUAUGCUUGAGAAUGCAGGAUAAGACCUUGCCAGAUUUUCUUCUUCUGUUAAUGUAAGGGUAUGAAAUAUUUCUAAAAUAUUUUAGCCAAUUCAUAUAUUUUAAAUACUUUAUUUCCAACAAUGAGAUGGCAUUUACAAUACACAAGUCACAAAUUUCACCAGUAAAAACUCCUUUCAGACUUUUCUUAAGCUAACUAGUAAAGCCUAAGAUAUUAUUCAAGAUACUGGGAAGAGAAGUGCUCAUAGAAGCCACUUGUGCAGUGUAGGUUUUUGAUGUAACACAGGUUAAGUUUGACAGGAUGUCUCAAUGCAGAAGUCAGUAAUAUCAUUAUUGCCCUAAUUCUGAAAACUAUACUUUUAGUGUGGAUAAUAUUAUUAAUUUUGUAUUUGUAGUCAUAUUCUACUAUGUUCCCAUAUAAAUUUAGAGUAAUUAUAUGUUUAUGCAUUUUAUCUUCAACAAACAUAAACGUAGAUGAACGAGAUUAAAAGUAAAAGUUCUUUAACUGGGGAUAUGAUCCCCAGCUUCUUUUACACUGUGUAGCAUCCAGUGCCCAACAGUACAAAAGGUAACAUAGGUAUCUAAUACUAUUUAAUACAUUCCUUUCCGAUUAACUUAGGUUGAGUGAAUUCUGUUGUCUGCAACUGAGAACCCUUACAGAUAUAAUUUGGAAGGGCAGUAUUCUGUACAACUCUGAUAAAGAUCUCUAUUUGGUUUGGCCUCAAUCAAUUUAUAUGCCUUCACUGAGUACACAUAAUACAUCAGUUUUGAGUGCACUUGAGAAAUAAAAAUAUGUACUACAAAAUAUGUUAGCACCCAGACCAUAUUUCUUCAAUAUUACAAAAGACUGGGUCAAAUGCUUGCUUCUUUCGAUCAAAAAUACACUUUCAACAGUAGUCUCCUGGCCUUCCAUUUGAGUGAUCCACCAAGAAAACAAAUUAGGCCAGGCCGGUGGCUCACGCCUGUAAUCCUAGCACUUUGGGACGCCAAGGCAGGCAGAUCACCUGAGGUCAGGAGUUUGAGACCAGCCUGGUCAACAUGGUGAAACCCCGUCUCUACUAAAAAUACAAAAAUUAGCUGUGCGCAGUGGCAGGCACCUGUAAUCCCAGCUACACGGGAGACUGAGGCAGAAGAAUCACUUGAACCCAGGAGGUGGAGGUUGCAGGGAGCCAAGAUCGUGCCACUGUACUCCAACCUGACAGAGUGAGACUCUGUCUCAAAAAAAAUGCCUCUCUCCAUAGGCUAUCCAUCUGAGAAUGUUUUAAAAUAGCUGUAGAAAUCACCUUUAUUUCUUUUAACAAAAUCAGUUCAGUAUGUGUUUUUCUUCAGUCUUCCAAAGUUUCUUAAGCUUACCAUGGUGGUGUGGCAUUCUCUCCUAUUAAGAUUUCCCUCAUUGGGAUAGAAUUAUUUUGGAAAAGGAGGCAUACACUCAUGUUAGAACACCGAGAAACCUGCUUACUUGCAGGUUCAGUUUAGUUUUCAAAAAAUAGUUAGAAACCUGCUUUCAAUUUCUUGACCUAAUAUCAGCCUUUCUUUCCCUCGACCUUCUCAGUUAAAAAGAUGAUUUUCCUGGUCAGAGAAGCUUAAAUCAAAAAAAAAAAAAAAAAUUUGAAUAAUUCUUCUCUUUGUUGAAAAAUGUGUCAAAAAUAUUUACAGUGUUUAUUCCCUUUAUUUACAAUUCAUAGCCAGUUAUAUGAUUGGACAUCCCACUAUAUUAAGUUUUGAUACUUUGAUAUAGAAAGCCUUCAGUUUUUUUUACUCUUCAGUAUUGUGUUGGCUAUUCUAAUCCUUUGGUCUCUCCAUAUAAACUUUAAAAUCAGUUUGUCAGUAUCUACAAAGUUGCAUGCAUGCUGGAUUUUGAUUGCAUUUAAUCUAUAAAUCAAUUGGGAAAAUUGACACUUAUAUUGGGUCUUCCAAGCCAUAAAUAUGGAAUUUAUCUCCAUUGAUUUAGAUCUUUAUUGAUUUCUUCUUAUUAGAGUUUUGUAUUUUUGCACAUAUAAUCUAAUACAUAUUUUAUUAGAUUUAUACCUGAAUAUGUGAGUUUUGGUGCUAUUAUAAAUGAUUUUUAAUAUCAAAUUCCAGUUACACGUUCCUGGUAUUGAGGUAAGCUAUUGACUUUAGUAUAUUAACCCUAUAUCAUGCAAAGUGUUGUAACUGCACAUUAGUUCCAGGCAUUUUGUUGUUCUUGAUGGCUCCUCAGAAUUUUCUGUAUAGACAGUCAUGUUAUCUGUGAACAGUUUUAUUUUAUUUCUCUACCAAUCCAUAUAACUUUUCCUUUUUUCUGUCUUAUUAUACUAGCUAGGAUUCCAGUAUGGUCUUGAACAGGAGUGAUGAUGGGAAGGUAAAUCUUUGCCAUGUUCCUGAUCUUAUGGGAGAGCACCUAAUUUCUCACCAUUGUGAUGUUACCUGCCCCUCUUUACUCUUGAUAAUUUUCCUUGUCCUGAAUUCCACUUUAUGUAAAAUUAAUAUAACUCCUCCUGCUUUCUUCUGUUUAGUAUUAGCAUGGUAUAUUUUUCUCCAUCAUCCCUUUAUUUAAACCAAUCUCAGCGUUUCUACUUUUAAAGUAGGUUUCUAAUAGAAAACAUAUAGUUGGUUUUUUUACCCACUUUGACAAUCACUGUCUUAGUUGAUGUAGUUAAACCAUUCAUGUUUAAAGUGAUUAUUGGUCAAUUUUGAUUGAUAUCUACUAUAAAUGUUUUAUAUCUACUUGUAACUGUUUUCUAUUUAUGACACUUGUUCUUUGUUUUUGUUUUUCUUUUCUUCCUUUCUGUAUUAGUUUCCUAGGGCUGCCAUAACAAAUUGCCAUAAACUCGGUGGCUUAAAACAAUAGGAAUUUAUUCUUUCGCCAAUCAGUAGGCCAUAAAACCAAAAUAAAUAUGUCAACAUGGUUGUUUCCUGCAGAGGCUCUAAAGGAGAGGCUAUCCCAUUCUCUCUCCAAGUUUCUGGUAGUUUCCAGCAAUUCUUGGUGGUCCUUAGCUUGUAGAUGUAUCACUCCAAUCCUUGCCCUCAUUUUUCACAUUGCCUUCUGUGAGUCUCUCUGCAUCCUUUCCUCUUCUUAAAGACACUAGUCAUUGUAUUCAUGGCUUAUCCUAAAUCCAGCAUGAUUUCACCUCAAAAUUCUUAACUAAUUACAUGUGCAAAGACCCUAUUCCCAAAUGAGAUCACAUUCUGAGAUUUUGAGUAGACAUAAAUUUAACAGAAACACUAUUCAAACUACUACAUUUCACUCUCUGAUCAACCAAAAUUAUAUCUAUCACAUAUGGAAAUUCAUUCACCUCAUUCCAAAAUUCCGAAAGUUGAAAUCCAUCCCAGCAUCAAUUCUAAAUUAAAAAUUUUAUCUAAAUAUUAUCAAUUCAAAAGUUUUAAAUAUCAUCAUCUAAAUAAGUUAUCCAUGACUCUUGGUAUGGUCCAUCCCAGGGCUAAAUUACUCUCCAUUUGUGGACCAGUGAAAUUGAAGAGGAGGCAGGACUCCAUUCUGGACCAUAUUGAAGAUUGGCUGAAACAGAGAAGAGGCACCAAAAGCACUUCUCCAUAAGACAUGCCCACCAGUGCCAUGUCAGUUUACCACUGCCAUGGCAACACCCAGAAGUUAUUGUCCCUUGCUAUGGCAAUGACCUGGAAGUUACAACCUAUUUUCUAGAAAUUUCUGAAUAGCCCAUCCCUUAAUUUGCAUGUAAUAAAAAUUGGGCAUAAAUAUGACUGCAGGACUUCUGAUCUGCUACUCUUCAUGCUGCCUGUGGGGCAGCUCUGCUCUGCAGGAGCAGUCAUGGAGCUGUAACACUGCCACUUCAAUAAAGCUGUUUUCUUCUAUUACUAGCUCACUCUUGAAUUAUUUCCUAAGCAAAGCCAAGAAGCUUCCUGGGCUAAGCCUGCUCUGCAUCAAGUAGUGCCCAAUGUGGAGCUGAGGAGAGAAGACGAUGGUGUGACAGAUGGUGAGAGAAUUGGCAGUUGGCAGUCGGCAAGGCAAAGGCAAAGGUAAGAGAGGAGAAGAGACAGUGAUCGGUGAGAGGAUGACUAGAGAAGCGAUGAGCAGAGAGAUGGAGCAAGAUGGUGAUAGAGAGAGAUGGUAAAGCAGUCGGUGACCGAGGCUGCAAGAGCUGUAACACUGUGGCUAUAAUAUCAAAGAGCUGUUAACAUUGCAAGAGCUAUAACAUUAACCAAAGCCUCUUUUUAGAGCUAUCAUUUUUCCUAGCAGGCAGCAGAGCUGAGUGAAUGGGAAAGUGGCUGUAGUGCCACUGCCUUGUAGGAGACCCACUGCUCUGACCCACAGGCAGAUGGGUUACCGGUUUGGUGGCAGCCUCUCCCACCACGACAGCCGAGUCCACCCAAACUGGGGAACCUGAAGAGAACUUUACCAGCGUCCCACAUGGAUGAUCAGUUGCUGUCAUUUUGGCUCCUGUGGAGGGGGCCAUUUGAUUGAAGCACUCAAGAAAUAUACUAAUACAGACCAAGACUUCCUGGAAGGAUGAGCUCUCCUGGGUGUGCAUUUUAUUACUCAAUCUGCCUACGACAUUUGGAGGAAGCUACAAAAGGUAGCAAUGGGACCCCAAACCCCCCUGAGCCAAAUCUCAGACAGUGCCCUGGGGACAGGGCAGAGGAAAAGGUGAAAAUCAAAAGAAUUGGCCAAAAAGCACAAUUCUUAGUGGCUGCUUUAGGCUCCCUGCUGCCUUGGGGUUGCCUACCCUGAGGAAAUGUGGUGAGAUCAGCAUCUGGGAUGCUCAGACAAGAGCCCUCAAAUUGCUGGCUUCUAGGCCAAACUCAGUGUACUUCUAUAAGGUAGGUAGAGGGGCACUGGAGGAAGGACUGCUCCAGGUUUAAAAGGGAGUCUAAGCAGGAGGCUUAGGCACGAGAAUUGCUUGAACCCAGGAUGUGAAGUUUGCAGUGAGCCAAGAUUGCACCACCACAAUCCAGCCUGGGUGACAAAAAAAAAAAAGUCUAAGCCAUCCAGACCCAUAAUACCCAAGAAAGCAGAGGAUCCAUGGAGACCAACGUCCUCCACAGAUACUACUGGACACCUUACCAUCUCCACAGAGGAGUCUCAGGUAAGUUUUUAUAUGGCAGGCAAAAAUAUUGAGUUCUUAUUCGACAUGAGAGCAGCCUACUCAGUUUUUACCCAUUUCUAAGGCCUGCAGUCUUUCCACUCUUGUAUGGUAACAGGGAUUGAUGGCCAGCCAAAAAUGAGGAGAUUUACCCAACCCCUUGGUUGUCCUUUGGGGAUACCAUACAUUUUUCCACAAGUUUUUGCUUAUACCUGUAUGCCCUGUCCCUAUACUGCAGAGAGACUUACUUUCCCCAUUACAGGCCAUAGUUCAAUUUGGUCUGACUCAUGAAAAGGCAGUAGGCCAGGACUAGACACUACUCCUAGCUGUAAGUACUAGCCUUAACACAGACAAGAAGAAGAGCUCCCUUCCAUGGAAAAUUGCUUCUUAGGUAGACCCCUCUGUCUGAGACAUGGAAGUCCCUGGUAGAGCUGUUAAUGUACCCCCAGGCCAGGUUAUUUUAAAACCCAGUGUUAAUUACCCAUGGAAGAUAUAGUAUCCUUUGAGACCUGAGGCUCAGAAGGACAACCAGCCCUUGAUAAUGAAGUUCCUAAGUAUGAAUUAUCACAAUUCUGUCAGUCUCCAUGUAACACCUCCAUUUUAUCUGUAAAGAAACCAAAUGUAGAAUAUAGAUUUGUUAAGGAUCUGAGAGCAGUUAAUGAGACAGUAGUCACAGUCUACCUAGUAGUUCCUAAUCCUUAUACAAUAUUGACCCAAGUCAAUAGGGGUCUGAGUACUUUGGGAUUAUUGUGGUUAGUUAGGAAGUCUAGGGAGAUGGCUGUGAGAUUCCCUGGAUAGGCCUGAAGGUGGAACCUUCUAUCUUGCGGAUGUUGAUGACAAAUCUGACACCAUGAAGAUGACUCUCUGAUGCUAUAAGUUUUGAAAUAUUUACUAUAGGGUUUGUUCCCACCCAUACUAGAUCAAGGUAAUUGGCAGAGCAAGCAAGAUUAACAGUGACAGCUUGGUGUCUGGUUGGGCCUUAGAGUAGCCUCUAUACCCAACAAAGGCAAAAGAGGUGUUUCCUUGGAGGGGGCAGUUGACUAACACAAUAGAAAGUAAGUAUUGCAAUAAGGAAAAAGAAAAAUUAAUGCUCCCAUUCCCACCCACAGCAUCAUGGUUAUCACUUCUGGCUGAGUGUUGAUUCUUUUAAACAGGUAACAGAGGUCUUCAAAGGUUCACAAUGUAGGUCGUGAUGCCCUCCUUUUUGUUCCUGCAACUCAUAAGAAACAGGUUUUAUCCUGGAUAGGUGUACCAAAUUAGUUACCCCUUUAGUUUAACAGCAGUGCAAAUAUGCAACGAUGUGUGAUAUGGGCCCUUCCAUGUCAGUUGUAAUUGAUCAUCAGGGGAUUCUUGUUUCCAAGUUUUCAGUAAGAUUAUGUCUCCUGGUUGAAUUGGGGGGGUGGAUGUUAAUUCUUUCCUUUGUAGGUGGGAACUAUAUUUUAUUUCCAUAUGAUUGAAGGGCCUUUUGGUGCUGGCCUAAGGUGAUAAUAUGGGUGGGCAUUCUAUGUGUGUCCUCAUUAAACAGGAGGUCUACAGUUAAAAAGGGCCUACCGUAAGUCAUUUCAAAUAGACUAAGUUUUAGAGUUCCCUUCAGAGCCAUUCUCACACGUAAAAGGUCUAUGUGUAAAGGAGAGACCCAGGCCUCUGAAGUUAAAUUGCCUCAAAAGGCUUUGAGAAAACAAGAAAGCUAAGUUGAUGUCUUUGGGUUUGUGAUUUCAAGGAAUCACCAACCCAAGCGAAUUAGGGGAGCCAGGCCUAGAAGGUACCCUGGGAGUCAUCAUGAGAAAAUCCUGGAAUGGGUAUACAAGAACACAGGGCAGGAAGCUGGGUCUGUACUAAGACCGCCCAUUCCAUCCAGAGACUUAUGUGCUCUGGCUGGCUUAAACUACAAGUUAUUGGAAUUCACCUGGAUGAGGAAUGUCCUUACCUUAAGUCAGGAUGGAAUACUUACUGAGAGUGGUUUUUAUAAAAGUAAAUAUUAUUUCUUCUCAAGCAUCUGAAUAUAAUUUAACAUAUGGUGAACGGACUUUUUCUUCUGGUUUCUUGGAAGAAUUGAUUUGCUUUAAAUGAUGAAAUGUUAUACCAGUAGCAGCUCACAAUUGCACAACUGGGACUGUUAAUUGGGAUUAGUGAAAUAAUUUAGGGGGAUCUCAUCCUAGUCUCAACCAACUAGAAAAAUCUCUUCUCCAGCCAUUAUUAUUGUUGUUGCACUCUUGUCGGAUGACCACUUUUCUAUUUCACUGAUGCACCCCCUUCCAAUUACCGUUGCUACUUUUUUGUUGUUUUCUCCGAGUUUCUACGUUAUUACUACUCAAUAGGGUUGAGGUUUUCCUCAGCACUUUUCUGAAUAAGAAACCUCAGUUUACUGUGAGAAGCUUAAUAAUAGGAAAAUUGAGCUCGCAGAGAGCACUUUUCAGCUUUCCGAUGCUUAAUGUUGUUUGUCAGGUUCUCACUAGAUGAAUAUGAUGAGGCUUUUAAAACCCAUUAGCUUUCCAAGAGCAUUCCCUUUUCUUCCUUGGAUUCAGAUCAUUUUCACACUGUUUUCUUCCAGGAGUGGCACCAGUAACAAGGGAAUCAGCUCUAAACUGAGUUCCUGAAAUUAAGCUCAUUAGAAACAUUCUUCUCUUAGUAAACCUUGAUUUUAUAUCCAGCUAUUUACAGAAAUCUCAAUUUCAGCUUUUCUCAGAUACAAUUUUUAUCAAAAUCUGGAUAAUACUUCAUCUAUACUUUCAGUCUCAUAAAUUAUGUUAUAUUUAAAAGCAUUGAGAGUAAAAGCACUUUCCUCUUGUGAAGAAGUUACGACUGUAUUUUUAGAACAUGGAGUUUAAGAAUAUUAUAAUAAAGGAAGUAGAAUUACUUUUAAAAGAUUAUGACUAAUGAUCUUUACAAAAUCUAAAUGGAAUACUUUGUUGUGACGUUCAGUUGUCUUUCAUGUUCAUAUAGUUUGCUAUUAAUUGUGUAGGAGGGUCAUAUUGUCAUAAUAAGUGACUGAGGGACAGUAUGUUAUAAUAUUAAGCAGACCAGGAAAGUGUUCUACUGCCCUUGGAAAAUGAACGUAUGCUACAUAUGCGAUGGUGACCUUAACGUGUGUACAUUUGUAAACGUACAGUUUAAGAUUGCUUUUGAAAUACAUAUUUUUGGAGUAUUAGUUACAUGAAAGUCAAAAGUUAAAUGCAAAAUUUCAUGGAGGGGCUUCCCGUCCAUUCUGUAAUGCCGAGACUUCUCUCCUCUGUUCAGCUAGGAUAUUCUAGACUUUCUGGUACAUUCUGAUUAUAUAUUAUGGUAGUAAAAGUACCCACAUGAGAAUUAUACAAAUUUGAUUCUCACGUGAACCAUCUGUAUAGGUUAUUUUCAUACAGACCAUGUGGUAGGUUAUGUUAACUCUGUAAGCCUCAACUUCCCCAUAAGGGGAAUUGGGGUGAUCAUGUUCACCUCACAGUUUCAUUAUACAGAUAGAUGGCAGAAUAUUUAAAGCUUAUAUUAAUAGGCAGCCACUCUUAUAUUCAGUACCUAAAAUAUUGUAGUUGCUUAAAUAUGUCUAUGGACUUGAAUAUUGUAGGCAGCACACAACUUUAUGCCCAUAUUUUUUUUUACAAUAUAGCUAAAAGUAUUUCUGAAGUUUUAUUUCAAGUAUCUGUGAUUUACAGAUUACCUAGAGGUGGCAUUCCUAACAUAUAGAUGAGUAUACUCAUUACAUCCUGAAAGUUUAUUCAGUAUAUUCCCACAUAAAUUUGAUACAAACUGUGGUUAAAUUUCUAGAUUACAUCACAGAAAACUAUAGCAUCCAUAAAAUAGCUGAAAUCAUAUUGUUACAGUAGGUGGCUAGUAAGACAUGAGGAGGGCAGGAGAGAGGGCCACCCCUUGCCCAACCACGAAUGUCAGGUGACCAUCAGGUGAUGAUCAGACAGCUGUUAAGCUGUCUCUCUAAGAUAAUAAUUGGUUGCAGCUGGCGCCAGGACAAGUCAGUGUUUCAAUAGAGAGAUAAAACCUGAAGCUGGUGAUCAUAAGCUUCCCAGUAAGAUCUCAGGAGUCGGGCCAAUGGGCUCAAGCAUCCACACUAAGAGGCAAAAUGGUGGUUUAAGCACUUGACUGGUAAGAGAAAAAGGACUCAAUUGUGCAUGUGGGUCCUCCCAAGUGCUGACAGUCCACUGUGCAUGCAGACAGCCCACCCCAAGGGAAGAAUUAGAGGAGAAGGAAUGCAAGACCCUAGAAGCAUGACAAUGUCUAAAACCCCAGUUCAAAGGUCAAACAAUGCACUUGAAUCUCUCAAGUCAUUCACUUUGCCCUCUUCCAAGUGUUCUUUACUUCCUUUCAUUCCUCCUCUAAAGCUUUUUAAUAAACUUUCACUCCUGCUGUAAAACUUGCCUUAAUCUCUCACUCUGCCUUUUACGCCCCUCUGUCUGAGGAGGCAAGAAUUGAGGUUGCUGCAGGCCUGUACCGAUUUGCCAUCACUAACAAUGGUAGUUUACCUAAUGCACCAAAUCCAUUAAUCUUGAGAGCCCUAGUUUACUGUGAGUAUAUAUGCCUUGAAGGUUUAGCUAACCCUGAUGACCACUGAGCCCUCGUGGAUAUGGUUUUCCUCCUUGAGAUUAUGAGUGCAGCAAAGUGCUCUGGAGAAAUUGGUAAGAGAGAAGGAAGAAGAAAGAAAACUUCAACAGAACACCUACUGGAAGAAAUUUGGAGACUGUUGAGAAAGGGUCUGAGCAAAGGUAGAACUAAUUUAAAAGAAUUAUAUUAUACACCCAUGUUCAUAGCAGCAUUGUUCAAAGUAGCCAAAAGAUGGAAGCAACUCAAGUUUUCAUCAACAGAUGAAUGCAUAAACAAAAUGUACUGUAUAUACAUACAAUGAACUAUUACUCAACCUUAGAAAGGAAAAGGAUUCUGACACAUGCUACAACACAGGUGAAAUUUGAAGACAUUAUGCUAAGUGAAAUAAAUCAAUGGUGAAAAGAAA